Molecule: long non-coding RNA, 337 nt
Filed under: Vitis vinifera (wine grape)
Lineage: Eukaryota; Viridiplantae; Streptophyta; Magnoliopsida; Vitales; Vitaceae
Description: long non-coding RNA (VVIN_LNC001297)
Source: RNAcentral
GGAGAUGUGAUCAGGGUUGCUGAACCUACACUGGAUUGGAAGGUGGUGAUGAGCACAAGAGUUCUAAGAAAGGCAGUAAAUGAUAAGAAGCUAGAAGCUCAGGUCCAGACUGUUGAACCUACAAUGGGCCAAAAGGAUAUGAGUACAGUAGUUCCAAGAAAGCCAAUAAAUGAUAAGAAGCCAGAAGAAGCUCGGAUUGGGGCUGCUGAACCUACAAUGUUAAUGAUGAAGUUCCCUCCUGAAACAACUCUGCCCUCAAUUCCUGAGCUGAAAGCAAAAUUUGUAAACUUUGGGCCUCUUCAUUCCUCCGCCACUCGUGUAUUUUGGGGCUCCUCAA